CACUUGGCCGCGGGCAGCCCCCAUACAACAUGUUUAGAAAACAACUUAGCACUAUCUUGUAAUGUCAGAUAUUUGCCCUGAGAACCUGUAAUUUCUCCCUUCAGUACACUUAGAAAAAUUCUUGUAGGUGUACCGCAGUAAACGUGGAUAACCAUAUUCAUGGGGAUUCUGGGGAGCAGCAGCCGUGCUGGUGUAACUGUUUAAUCUCUCCAAAUCCCGCAGAAGGAUACACACAGCAGCCAGGAUUGCAAACUAAAACCCCACAGGCAAUGACUGCGACAAACUAGAUGACACAGAUCCCACAAACCCUGAAACCCCAGUGGAUGGAGACACACCCACGAGACCUGCAGCCGCCGCCGCUGUGUCAGAGGAAGCCGGAGGGAGCAAUGGCCCUCCUCACAAACCUAGGGACCCCAGAUAACGACAGUGAGUCACGGAAAAGCCAGCGGGCCAAGCGGAGAAGCGCGCCCGUCGCCAGGAGGGAGGCGCGUACUCCGCCAGCAACUGGGGACAAGGGGCGGACCCGGCCUAGGAAACCCUCAGAACUGACCAGCCCAGGCUCCCAUCCAGGACGAACCCCAGCUGAGGAGUAACUGCUGGAAGAGAAUCCAAAUGGAGCAGGGCUGAGAUAGGAAACCACCUUCUUGCCCUUGGGAGAAUUCUUCUAAGUCCCUCCGAAAGAGCGUCCACUUCCGAGGUUCUUUCCUUGUGGAUGAGCACAGGAGGAGCCGUGAAAGCUGAACACCUUAGGCUGAACGCUUUGACUGUCAGCUAACGGCCUCCAAGGCUGACAUGACAGAUGGACAAGCCUACCCACUAAGCACAGUCACCGACAGACGCCCGGCCCUCUCCGCCCUCGCUCUUG
RNAcentral lists this long non-coding RNA (865 nucleotides) under Equus caballus (horse). RNAcentral describes it as "lncRNA (ENSECAG00000049603.1)". Lineage: Eukaryota; Metazoa; Chordata; Mammalia; Perissodactyla; Equidae. The record is from RNAcentral.